Onychomys torridus (southern grasshopper mouse) is the source of this 475-nucleotide long non-coding RNA. RefSeq lists it as uncharacterized. The transcript is spliced from 3 exons. Lineage: Eukaryota; Metazoa; Chordata; Mammalia; Rodentia; Cricetidae. The record is from RefSeq and is a predicted model, not a curated record.
AUGAAGAAGGCAGGCCGCCACAGGCAGCGGAAAGCCAGCAGGUGUGGACCCAGCGCAAACAUCACGUUGCUGAGAAAGAAGGUGGUCCAAGUGUCCUCGGGCACACGAGUUCCCAAAGGGGUGAGUGAAACCCCGGAGUGCUUCUGGGACACAUGUUCACCACCUGGAUCCUGCCAUACCUGAAGUCUACAUGUGCAUCUGCCUGCUGGCAUGGGCUUCAGGCAACUGCUUCAAAGAAGUUUGGGCCUUCCCUUCCACCUGUCCUCUCACCUGCAACUUUGGGUAGACCACAGGGUCCCGCAGCAUGGGGAGAGCAUAUGAUUCAGGAAGAUCCAAUGGCAACUGGGCCACGCAGGAGCCCCACCUGGACAUCUGGAGUUACACUAUGCUUGCUGGAGCUCUCCUGCACUCCGUGGCUCCCCAGCAUGCUCCCUGCCCUGGCCUGGCUGAGUUUACCCCAAAUAGAGUCCUGACA